CAUCGGUGGCGCCAGAGCUGCCGGCGUCGACUCGAAGACCCACGGAAAGGCGGGCUGGCGGCCGUGACGCAUAAGGGCGGAAUGGACGGGUCGGGUUGCAGCGGACGGGGGCAGGUUCGCGAGGAGGAAUCGACCUUUGCCCUGAACUUCCUGUUAACCCCGACGUCCGGGAACCUGGGUCCGCGGCCCCGGGCACUGCUCGGCGGCCCUCUCGCAUUGCCCGCGGAGCGUCCGUCUGUUUGAGCACCUGCGACCUGGAGGGAGCGUCACUCGAGCAAAACCCUGGACUGUCGGGAACUGGGGCUGGGGGCCUGGUCAGCCGGGAGUGGUCUGUGAGUUUGGGGGACCCGAUUACACAAAGCCUUGUAAAUCGGUUGGCUUUAUUUAUCCUUAGAGCAACGAGUAGGCUGUGAAGAGCCUUAGCAGAGGGCCUGUUGAAGGCACAGAUUUGGAUAAGCCCCCCAGAGAACAGCAGAGGGGCAAGAAGAGUGCUCUGGGAAUUCCCUCACUUAAGGCACAAAUAGAAGAGGAAGCUUUGGAGGGUCUUUGAACAGGAACAACCAAUGAUGGGAAAUAAACACUGGUUGAUAGUUGUCACAGAACCAAAAGGAACAGAGUGUUUCAGGGGGGUGGAAGUUGUUAAGAAGUGUCAGGUGUCCCCAGAGAGGCAGCUUACGGGAAAGUGCUUUUGGCUCCAGACCCAGGUUUCCUGGAAGCUGGCACAAAGGUCAAAGCCUCCCCCCACAUCUCACGAGUCCCACAUCCAUGCUGUCCUGCCAGUCUGUGUCUCCGUGGGUCUUGAAGUUGACAGCAGCCAGCUCAGGUACCACCAAUGUUUCCACACUUCAGGAUGAUACUUUCUCACAUGUGAAACUGACAUUAAAAAAAUGAAGGAAUUGAAAGUUGAAGUUGAGAUGGUCGACAUCUAACUAGGGAUCAUGAAUUUUCCUAAAAACGCCACAAUAAUAGGAAGAGUUGGCACAGAAGUUACUUAGUAAGUGCUGAAGUCUGUAAGCAUGAGGCUAAAGGGUGGUAAAACCAAGUGGCAUGACCUUUGAAGAUGUUUGGAAGGUGGACAGCAAGGAGGAGGGCGAUACCUGCCAUCCUGCCAUCCUGCCAUCCACUCCUACUUUGGAAGGUUUGAAGGGAAGACACAGAUGUGCAAUUAGG
Phyllostomus discolor (pale spear-nosed bat) is the source of this 1170-nucleotide long non-coding RNA. RefSeq lists it as uncharacterized. The record is from RefSeq and is a predicted model, not a curated record. NCBI's taxonomy places the organism in Eukaryota, Metazoa, Chordata, Mammalia, Chiroptera, Phyllostomidae. The transcript is spliced from 2 exons.